Molecule: ribosomal RNA, 264 nt
Filed under: uncultured bacterium
Lineage: Bacteria
Description: partial 16S ribosomal RNA
Rfam family: Bacterial small subunit ribosomal RNA
Source: RNAcentral
CCGGCGACCGGCGCACGGGUGAGUAACACGUAUGCAACCUGCCCUCUUCAGGGGGACAACCUUCCGAAAGGGAGGCUAAUCCCGCGUAUAUCGGUUUCGGGCAUCCGAGAUCGAGGAAAGAUUCAUCGGAAGAGGAUGGGCAUGCGGCGCAUUGCUAGACGGCGGGGUAACGGCCCACCGUGGCGACGAUGCGUAGGGGUUCUGAGAGGAAGGUCCCCCACACUGGUACUGAGACACGGACCAGACUCCUACGGGAGGCAGCAG